GAGGUUGCAAUGUGCCGAGAUCACGCCACUGCACUCCAGCCUAAGCAACAGAGCGAGACUUCAUCUCAAAUAAUAAUAAUAAUAAUAAUGAAUUAAAAAAUAAAUAAAUACAUAAAUAAGGGAGCUAGACAACCCUCCUCCCCUACAGAGCUCUGUGAAAAGUCCAGGACAUCUCAGCCGAGGGAAGGCCUGGCACCAAAACUGUGGAUCAGGGCACAUCCCAGCCUUCUGUAGGGCACCCAGAACACGAGGGGAGGACAGGCUCGACCUGGACUCCAGGACUCUUUCCAAAGACUGAGUGACACUUCAAGGACAGACAGGAGGACCACAUGAACCCACAAGGCCCAAACUCAGGCUCUGCCCCUGAACCCUGGACAGAGCAACUCGCAAACAGGACAGAGAACAGACCGUUCAGAAACGCAGCUGGGAAACCCGGCAACUGAUUGGCAACAGAGGGUGAUAUCCCUCACAUGGCUACUCUGAGGCCUGCCUAGUCCCGGCUCUGCAGGACCUUUAGGGAAGGUGAAUUGGUAGGGACAAAAAAGGCACAAACCACAAAGAAAUGACAGGAGAAGAGGCGGGCACCCCUGCAGAGUGAGCACUGCGGAGGGCCAGGCCCUGUCCUAGGCCCGCGGAUGAAUCCUCGCAGCAGCAGCAACAGCACCCUUUUCUAGGGGAGCCACAGCUCAGGGCAGCCACACCUCCAGGACUCCAGGCUGCCUGGCCUCACAGUCCUGUGACCACCCCCACUGCCUGUGCAAGUGACCUGCGAGUAGAUGAGGAGUCCCUCCGUGGUGGUGGCCGCCCAGCAGCGCCCUGGGAAAUUAAGCAGUGCUUUCCUAAAAAUUUAAGCUCAUUCCUCCCAACAUUUUUUUUCUUUUUUUUUUUUUUUAAAGAAACAGUAUUAAGUACAUUCCCCUGGGACAAAGUGCAAAAAUCAGGAGGAACCGGGACGUCUGCCUCUAGCCCCCACCCCACUACUCCCCUGGGAAGGAAUGAAUGGAUCAUCCCAGAAGUUACUCUCCCAGGGAUGCACAUAUAAGCAAAUAUGUACACGCAUGCGUCCUCCUCUCUUGACGCCGGGAGCCAGCCAAGUCUUCUGUCUAGCUCAGGCGUCUUCAGCUCCGCAGGCCCUGUGGUCUCUGCUGCACCUACUCAGUGCUGCACGGAUCACUAGAGACAGCCAGAAGGAUCCGCCAACAAAAAAACGCCCAGUAAAAUGUCCCAGUAAAACAUCAGUGACCAAAGCAGGUGGCCAGCCAGAUUUGGCCCUUGGGCCCGAGGGCACAGACCCCUGGCUCACAUGGGCCUCUCUGCCCCUGGCUCUGACACUCAGUCUAGGCUGGAGCACGCUUGCCAAUAGCCCUGCUCCUGGCUCCUCUGUGUGGGGACCAUGUGCACCGCCAGGCUCCACAGGCCUGUGGCACAGACCCUCCUCCCCACUGCGAGAGGAUGGGGGCAGUGCGCAGGAGACGGGCUCUCCGUGAUGGCAGAGCCGCCCCCAGGCAGCACGUCCAGGGCACUCGGGGAGCUGCUAGAGCAAGGGCAUACCAGGCCUGCCAUGUUUCAAAGCUCAGUGCAUCUGAGGUUGGCACCGUGACAGCCAUCCAUCCUCAGGGACAACAGCCAUCUUGUGGCCUGCAGGGUUUGCAGGGCCAUGUUCUUACCCAGGGGCACAGGGCACAGCCCAGAGCCUGCAGACAGCUCCAUGGUGGCCAGCCUUGCUAUGGCACAGAUGCCCCAGUGCCCACCGGCACCAAAAGCCCAUGGCUCAGUGCUCACCAGUGGGAGAGAAGCGGAGUGAGGUCACCCUGAUCUCAGGUUUGAAGUGCCGAGAACUCAUGUCACCUGGGGAAAAAAGAACCGUUAAUGAUCACUGGACAGCAUAUCCAGGCUGCUCUCCCCACGAAGCAAGUCAUCCUGCGGUCUCCCGGCUGGCUGGGGGGUGCUGUGGGAGCCCCAUCAAGAGCAGCAGCCUCUACUCAUUGGGUCCUGCACAAAGCGGAGGCAGAAGCAGCCCUUCCCUCGCCCCCAACCCUGUCUGUGGAAAAAUUGCCUUCCACGAAACCGGUCCCAAAUGCCAAAAGGGUUGGGGACCGUGGCUCCACACACAGCUGAGGCAGGUGCUGGCUUCACGGCCGGACUCUGCUGGGGCAGGUGAGGGGCCCGUGCACUUAGAUACAGGACAAGCACCACAACUGUGCCCAAGGCCCCAUGGAGCCAGGAGUGCAGAACGCAGGAGCCCGACGCAUUCCACCUGCAUUGGAAGCAACAUCCAUCCGGCCCCGCGCUGGCGGCUCACCUCCAUGGCGUCCAAAGACAG
Molecule: long non-coding RNA, 2323 nt
Filed under: Homo sapiens (human)
Lineage: Eukaryota; Metazoa; Chordata; Mammalia; Primates; Hominidae
Description: non-protein coding lnc-ICOSLG-10:1
Source: RNAcentral